GUGGGGAAUAUUGGGCAAUGGGGGAAACCCUGACCCAGCGACGCCGCGUGAGGGAAGAAGGCCUUAGGGUCGUAAACCUCUGUUGUGUGGGAAGAAGAGCGUGACGGUACCACACGAGGAAGUCCCGGCUAACUACGUGCCAGCAGCCGCGGUAAUACGUAGGGGACGAGCGUUGUCCGGAUUUACUGGGCGUAAAGGGCGCGUAGGCGGUCAGUUAAGUCAGUGGUGAAAUGGUGCGGCUUAACCGCAUCAUGCUGUUGAAACUGGAUGACUGGAGUGCUGGAGAGGCAAGUGGAAUUCCCAGUGUAGCGGUGAAAUGCGUAGAUAUUGGGAAGAACACCGGUGGCGAAGGCGACUUGCUGGCCAGCAACUGACGCUGAGGCGCGAAAGCCAGGGGAGCAAACGGGAUUAGAAACCCGUGUAGUCC
This 427-nucleotide ribosomal RNA is filed under the name uncultured bacterium. Its description in RNAcentral is "partial 16S ribosomal RNA". It matches the Rfam family "Bacterial small subunit ribosomal RNA", at positions 354 to 796 of the family's 1533-position model. The record is from RNAcentral.